AAGAAAUGUGUUUGAAUAGUUUCCACAUUGAAACUAAGGGUGAAGGGAACAAAGGAUUCCCAUAUAUUACUAAGAGCAUCCAAGACCAUGAGAAGGUCUUACAGACUAUACCCGCGUCAUAUAUCUUUACUAUGCCAAGGUCAAUAUGAUAAAGGCUAAUAAAGUAAACAAAAGGGUUUACUGAGAAAUUCACUAAUGGCAUGACCGGCUUGGCCAGCCCGGUUCGAAUAUGAUGCGUAAAU
Molecule: long non-coding RNA, 242 nt
Filed under: Arabidopsis lyrata
Lineage: Eukaryota; Viridiplantae; Streptophyta; Magnoliopsida; Brassicales; Brassicaceae
Description: long non-coding RNA (ALYR_LNC001034)
Source: RNAcentral